Long non-coding RNA from Phyllostomus hastatus (greater spear-nosed bat), 429 nucleotides. RefSeq lists it as uncharacterized. The record is from RefSeq and is a predicted model, not a curated record. The transcript has 3 exons. NCBI's taxonomy places the organism in Eukaryota, Metazoa, Chordata, Mammalia, Chiroptera, Phyllostomidae.
CCCAUUGUAUGGAGAGUUAAUAAGAUAACCACAAACUGCAGGCACACACCCAAGGACAGCGUUGAGUGUGAAAGCUUGAAACACGAUUCUGUCACAAGGAAGACUGAUGGCAUGCCGGACACCAGAUAGAUGACGGGGCAGAGAAGCCCACAGACCAGAGUGUCAGCCAUGAGUGAGCUGCAGAAUCAGAAAGAGCAAGAAGGCAGACACUUCCCAGGCACCUAAGUUAUACACAGGAGAGGUUAAGAAGAGUUGAAGAGAAAACCGAGAACAGGAUCUAUUUAUAAGGAGUGGCAGAAAGGACCUCCAUGGAGAGAUGACCAGAAUGCUGAUGGAAUUAUUGUAAAGUGGAAUUACCAGAGAGGGAUUUUGAAGAGCCCAUUAUCUGCUGAACUUUUCAAUGAGAAUAAAAUUAUAUUGCUGAAAAAA